UGAAUACGAGAUGCUACGGCGUCGAAGCAGUCUAUGUCAUACUUCCAAGAAAAGCUCGCACUGUCAUAAACAAAUAAUGCCUGUACCAUAACCGACACAGGUGGGUAGGUAGAGUAUACUAAGGGGCGCGAGAUAACUCUCUCUAAGGAACUCGGCAAAAUGACUCCGUAACUUCGGGAGAAGGAGUGCCUUAUUUAUAAGGUUGCAAUAACAAGAUCCAAGCAACUGUUUAUCAAAAACACAGGUCUCCGCUAAGUCGUAAGACGAUGUAUGGGGGCUGACGCCUGCCCAGUGCCAGAAGGUUAAAGAAGUUGGUUAGCAUUCGCGAAGCUGAUAACUGAAGCCCUGGUGAACGGCGGCCGUAACAAUAACGGUCCUAAGGUAGCGAAAUUCCUUGUCGGGUAAGUUCCGACCCGCACGAAAGGCGUAAUGAUUUGGAUACUGUCUCGGAGAGGGGCUCGGUGAAAUAGACUUGUCUGUGAAGAUGCGGACUACCUGCACCAGGACAGAAAGACCCUAUGAAGCUUUACUGUAACUUGAGAUUGAAAUUGGACUUUACUUGCGCAGUAUAGGUGGGAGGCGUUGAUAAUAUUCUUGCGGGAUUAUUUGAGCCAUCAGUGAGAUACCACUCUUGUAAUGUUAGAUUUCUAACUUUGUAUCAUCAUCUGGUCAAAGGACAGUUUCAGGCGGGCAGUUUGACUGGGGCGGUCGCCUCCUAAACGGUAACGGAGGCGCACAAAGGUUUCCUCUGAACGGGUAGAAAUCGUAUCUAGAGUGUAAAGGCAUAAGGAAGCUUGACUGUGAGACCUACAAGUCGAGCAGGGACGAAAGUCGGUCUUAGUGAUCUGACGGUGCAGAGUGGAAAGGCCGUCACUCAACGGAUAAAAGUUACUCUAGGAUAACAGGCUGAUCUCCCCCAAGAGUUCACAUCGACGGGGAGGUUUGGCACCUCGAUGUCGGCUCAUCGCAUCCUGGGGCGGUAGUACGUCCCAAGGGUUGGGCUGUUCGCCCAUGAAAGCGGUACGCGAGCUGGGUUCAGAACGUCGUGAGACAGUUCGGUCCAUAUCCGGUGUAGGCGUUAGAAUAUUGAGAGGAGCCUUCUUUAGUACGAGAGGACCGAGAAGGACAUACCUCUGGUGUACCAGUUAUCGUGCCAACGGUAAACGCUGGGUAGCUAUGUAUGGAGUGGAUAACCGCUGAAAGCAUCUAAGUGGGAAGCCCACCUCAAGAUAAGUAUUCUC
Molecule: ribosomal RNA, 1241 nt
Filed under: metagenome
Description: bacterial LSU rRNA
Rfam family: Bacterial large subunit ribosomal RNA
Source: RNAcentral